Molecule: ribosomal RNA, 432 nt
Filed under: uncultured bacterium
Lineage: Bacteria
Description: partial 16S ribosomal RNA
Rfam family: Bacterial small subunit ribosomal RNA
Source: RNAcentral
AACGAACGCUGGCGGCAUGCCUAACACAUGCAAGUCGAACGAGACCUUCGGGUCUUGUGGCGCACGGGUGCGUAACGCGUGGGAACCUGCCCUUAGGUUCGGAAUAACUCCCCGAAAGGGGUGCUAAUACCGGAUAAUGUCUACGGACCAAUGAUUUAUCGCCUUUGGAUGGGCCCGCGUUGGAUUAGCUAGUUGGUAGGGUAAAAGCCUACCAAGGCGACGAUCCAUAGCUGGUCUGAGUGGAUGAUCAGCCACACUGCGACUGAGACACGGCCCAGACUCCUACGGGAGGCAGCAGUGGGGAAGAUUGAACGAUGGGCGAAAGCCUGAUCCAGCAAUGCCGCGUGAGUGAUGAAGGCCUUAGGGUUGUAAAGCUCUUUUACCCGGGAUGAUAAUGACAGUACCGGGAGAAUAAGCUCCGGCUAACUCCGU